CACGUAGUUAGCCGGGGCUUCUUAGUCAGGUACCGUCUUUCUUCUUCCCUGCUGAUAGAGCUUUACAUACCGAAAUACUUCUUCACUCACGCGGCGUUGCUGCAUCAGGGUUUCCCCCAUUGUGCAAUAUUCCCCACUGCUGCCUCCCGUAGGAGUUUGGGCCGUGUCUCAGUCCCAAUGUGGCCGGCCACCCUCUCAGGUCGGCUACUGAUCGUCGCCUUGGUGGGCCGUUACCUCACCAACCAGCUAAUCAGACGCGGAUCCAUCCCAUACCACCGGAGUUUUUCACACCGGACCAUGCGGUCCUGUGCGCUUAUGCGGUAUUAGCAGUCAUUUCUAACUGUUAUCCCCCUGUAUGAGGCAGGUUAUCCACGCGUUACUCACCCGUCCGCCGCUAAGUCAUAUCCGCUUCCAUCCGAAAACUUCCGCUAAUACGCUUCGCUCGACUUGCAUGUGUUAAGCACGCCGCCAGCGUUCAUCCUGAGCCAGGAUCAAACUCU
Molecule: ribosomal RNA, 500 nt
Filed under: uncultured Lachnospiraceae bacterium
Lineage: Bacteria; Bacillati; Bacillota; Clostridia; Lachnospirales; Lachnospiraceae
Description: partial 16S ribosomal RNA
Source: RNAcentral